GGCGGAUUAGCCAAGGUCGAUCGG
RNAcentral lists this transfer RNA (24 nucleotides) under Davilla kunthii. RNAcentral describes it as "partial tRNA-His". The record is from RNAcentral. Lineage: Eukaryota; Viridiplantae; Streptophyta; Magnoliopsida; Dilleniales; Dilleniaceae.